UACGUAGGGUGCAAGCGUUAAUCGGAAUUACCGGGCGUAAAGCGUGCGCAGGCGGUUCGUUAAGUUCGUUGUGAAAGCCCCGGGCUCAACCUGGGAACUGCAAUGGAAACUGGCGGGCUUGAGUGUGGCAGAGGGGGGUGGAAUUCCACGUGUAGCAGUGAAAUGCGUAGAGAUGUGGAGGAACACCGAUGGCGAAGGCAGCCCCCUGGGCUAACACUGACGCUCAGGCACGAAAGCGUGGGGAGCAAACAGG
This 253-nucleotide ribosomal RNA is filed under the name uncultured bacterium. Its description in RNAcentral is "partial 16S ribosomal RNA". It matches the Rfam family "Bacterial small subunit ribosomal RNA", at positions 524 to 776 of the family's 1533-position model. The record is from RNAcentral.